This 487-nucleotide ribosomal RNA is filed under the name uncultured bacterium. RNAcentral describes it as "bacterial SSU rRNA". It matches the Rfam family "Bacterial small subunit ribosomal RNA", at positions 28 to 507 of the family's 1533-position model. The record is from RNAcentral.
GAUGAACGCUAGCUACAGGCUUAACACAUGCAAGUCGAGGGGCAGCGCAGUGUAGCAAUACAUGGGCGGCGACCGGCGCACGGGUGCGUAACGCGUAUCCAACCUUCCCGUUACUCAGGGAUAGCCUUCCGAAAAGGGAGAUUAAUACCUGAUGGUGUUCAAAUUCCGCAUGUUAUUUGAACUAAAGAUUUAUCGGUAACGGAUGGGGAUGCGUGACAUUAGAUAGUAGGCGGGGUAACGGCCCACCUAGUCUACGAUGGUUAGGGGUUCUGAGAGGAAGGUCCCCCACACUGGAACUGAGACACGGUCCAGACUCCUACGGGAGGCAGCAGUGAGGAAUAUUGGUCAAUGGGCGAGAGCCUGAACCAGCCAAGUAGCGUGAAGGAAGACUGCCCUAUGGGUUGUAAACUUCUUUUGUUCGGGAAUAAAGUGCAGUAUGUAUACUGUUUUGUAUGUACCGUUCGAAUAAGCAUCGGCUAAUUCCGUG